RNAcentral lists this ribosomal RNA (440 nucleotides) under uncultured bacterium. RNAcentral describes it as "partial 16S ribosomal RNA". It matches the Rfam family "Bacterial small subunit ribosomal RNA", at positions 338 to 795 of the family's 1533-position model. The record is from RNAcentral.
CCUACGGGGGGCUGCAGUGGGGAAUAUUGGACAAUGGGCGAAAGCCUGAUCCAGCAAUGCCGCGUGAGUGAUGAAGGCCUUAGGGUUGUAAAGCUCUUUUACAAGGGAUGAUAAUGACAGUACAUGGAGAAUAAGCUCCGGCGAACUCCGUGCCAGCAGCAGCGGUAAUACGGAGGGAGCUAGCGUUGUUCGGAAUUACUGGGCGUAAAGCGCACGUAGGCGGUUUUUCAAGUCAGGGGUGAAAGCCCGGAGCUCAACUCCGGAAAUGACCGUGAAACUGGAUGACUAGAAUCUUGGAGAGGUCAGUGGAAUUCCGAGUGUAGAGGUGAAAUUCGUAGAUAUUCGGAAGAACACCAGUGGCGAAGGCGACUGACUGGACAAGUAUUGACGCUGAGGUGCGAAAGCGUGGGGAGCAAACAGGAUUAGAUACCCCUGUAGUC